UCAUGGAGAUAGGAAUAACAAAUAGCAUAAUCAAAGCUGGUCUCACAAGAAUGACUGCUGAUAAGACAUCUAGAUAAGACCCCAAUGAUCACCAAGAGUUUCCAUUUAUAUGGGAAAUUGAAAUAGUCUGGCCUACGUUUUCUUCCUGUUACUUCUUCAGUUUCCCUUGUAAUCAAAUUGCUCUGUGAUUACAAGAUCUGAUUUUGAUCAAAUACAUCAUAUCAGAAGAAAGGUGAACCGGGUACAGCAGAGUUUGGAAUUUUAAGGCAAAGAAACAGACACAGUUUCCUGAUUCUGACUGUGACUCUGAUUUGGAUUUGGAUUCAUAAUUUCCCCAUAUUCCAUGGAUACAUCACUUCCCAUCCUCUGUCCCUCUUCCAGUUCUGCUAUGGAAGAUACAGCAUCUAUGCUGACAGAAGUCAUAUCAGAGCCCACAAUUACACUGGAAAAUGAAGUGAAGUGUAGCAAUCUGUCCACUCCUCUACAGAAGGGAAAAUCAGACAAGAGAGUGGAAUGGUCAAGUGAUACAAUAGACAAUGAGCACUUGGGCCGUCGCUCAUCUAAAUGCUGUUGCAUUUAUGAGAAGCCUCGUGCAUUUGGUGAAAGUUCCUCUGAGAGUGAAAAAGAAGAUGAAGAGAACUGUGAUGCUAUACUAUGUAUCUGGGGUCAUCACAGGGGAAGGCGUCGUACCCUUUCCAAUAGUGCUUCUAGUACUUCAUCUUCAAAACCUCCAGACCCACGUCAACCCCUUCCUUCACCCAUUAAGGGUUAAGCAUCACCUUGCUUCUCCCAUCCCUGAAUCAACCUGAACUGCAAUUUAUCCAUGUUGCUAUUCAGGGAUUAAAGAGUUUGACUCUUCUUUGAUGUGCGUGUCAUCUAUCUGCCCAACUAAAAUUAUAUCAAUGAAAAAGGCAGGGAGUGAAACAAAGGACUAAUGGAAUAUUUGGAGUCUCUUAUAUUGCAUGGCAACUAUUUAACAACUUAGGGUUCCAGGCUUCCAAUGCAUCUAUACACUCUAGUUUUUCCUAGAUACCUGAAUUUUUGGCAACUAUCUCUUCUCAGUCCCCUGUCAUCACAACAAAUGUCUAUUUUUCCUACAGCUAUCACUUUCACUAUACUUGCCACAUAUAAUAAUCUUUAUCAUGUAAGUCUCAUUUUAGUACUUUGUAUUAAUUGAAAACUUUGUCAUUUAUUUUUUUCUUCUUUUUUUUUAGAUAAUUCCCUUUUUAUUUGUUCUUUUUGGAUACACAUGACAAUAGAGUGUAUUUUGACAUACAUUCAUGAACCAUAAGUUAUUCUAAUUACAAUCUUUUUCUUGUGGUUGUACAUAAUGUGGAGUUUCACUGGUCAUGUAUUCAUAUAUGAACAGAGGAAAGUUAUAUCUAAUUCAUUCUGUUAUCUAUUUUAUAUUAAAAUAUUUCAGUCUGUUCUUAAUUUUUCCUGGCUAAAAUAUAUCAAUGUCCUGUCCCAAUGUUUCUAUAAAUGAGAUUUUUGUACUAAAUGGAUAUUUCACAUCUGCUAUCAGAAACUCAUUAUUGUAGUUGCAUGGAUCUAGACAGCACUAGUACUACUACACAAGUACUAUUACACUUUAGUUUUAUGUGUAAGAAUAUUUUCUAUUCUCAAACUCUUAUUUCUUGACCUCUGCCUCAUCCUCAAUUCUAAAAGUAUUUCCUGAUAAAAUUAAGACUUAUAAUUGUCCAAAUCUGUAUAUUUAUUCAAAUCUUGGACCUCAAAAUAUUAUGCCUAUCUCACAAUUUAAAAUGGAUUUUAUCCAUCUCCAAGAAUACCAUAAUUUUAGUAGUUCAAGCAUUGCCUAAAAUUCAAAGUCCAGAGUGCCAACUUAGACUUGAAGCAAACUCUUGGCUUUGAGCCCCUGUAAAAAUCAAAAGCAAGUAACAUAUCUAGUGUAAAAUGGCACAGGGUAAACUUUACCAUUUUGAAAGGGAGAAAGUUGGGCAUACAAAUAAAGAAUGGUACCAAAAUAAGACUGAAAUGCAGCCAGGCAACCAUUGCAUUCUGUAGCUCAAUGCCAAGCAUCUAAGGCAUGUGGUGGUGACAGAUAACCACCAAAGGACUUGGGCAGCCCCACUCUAUUGAGCUUGCUGAUUGCAGUCCAUGUAACCUCUCUUUUAGCCUAGUUUUCUCCAGAGUCAGAAGCUUUCCUCAACAAUAAUUCUACAUUAAUGUUAUGUAUUAAUCUGGGGGGUCUACAUUCCAACUUUGACUUCACCUUCAAAGCUUCACACUUUACCUUGGAGGCCUGCAGGAUUUUAGACCCAGCUACAUUUUUGCAUGGACUCUCAGACCUUCCUUUGAAGUCUGUCAAAGUCUUCCAUGGCAUGCUCAUUCAAGAAUCCCAAAUUCCUGCAGAGCCAGCACCAUAUAAAUAAUGAUACACUCUGCUACAACUUUAGAAGAAGAUGAAUACCCAUGGAUCAAAGCUACAGCAGCUUGUGAGUUCCUGGGCAGUUAAACAUGGUGAAACAACUUCCUAGGCCUUUUAUCUUUCUUUCUUUUUGCAAAUAGAGUCUCCCCAUAGUCCAUUCUCUAAGGAAUUAUUAUUUUGACACUCUUCAAUCUGGAAUAAGUAUUGUCUUGACAAUUUCUGAAUUGUCUUCAAGUUAUCUUUCCUAUUGUCUCAGUGCAAAUUAUUUAGUAUAUUUUUAAUGAUUGUAAUCUAUUUUCAACCAUAUCUUUCUUGGAUACAGAUUUACCUGAAUGUUUAUGGCCACAUGUAAGUUUUAAAAUUCCUUUGUCUCUGCUUUCUGCUCUUGAUUAUCAUAAUAAACUUUAUUACAUGCUGCCAACAUUA
Ictidomys tridecemlineatus (thirteen-lined ground squirrel) is the source of this 2815-nucleotide non-coding RNA. NCBI's taxonomy places the organism in Eukaryota, Metazoa, Chordata, Mammalia, Rodentia, Sciuridae. The record is from RefSeq and is a predicted model, not a curated record.